RNAcentral lists this ribosomal RNA (272 nucleotides) under uncultured Alphaproteobacteria bacterium. Its description in RNAcentral is "partial 16S ribosomal RNA". It matches the Rfam family "Bacterial small subunit ribosomal RNA", at positions 9 to 307 of the family's 1533-position model. Lineage: Bacteria; Pseudomonadati; Pseudomonadota; Alphaproteobacteria. The record is from RNAcentral.
GAGUUUGAUCAUGGCUCAGAACGUACGCUGGCGGCACGCCUUAUACAUGCAAGUCGAACGAAGUAGCAAUACUUAGUGGCAGACGGGUGAGUAACAUGUAGGUAUCUUCCCUUUGGUGAGGAAUAACACGAGGAAACUUGUGCUAAUACCUCAUAAGUCUUUACGGAGAAGGCUUUAUGCGCCGAAGGAUGAGCCUGCACUUGAUUAGUUUGUUGGUGGGGUAAGUGGCCUACCAAGACUGUGAUCUAUAGCUGAUCUGAGAGGAUGAUCGG